UACGGAGGGUGCAAGCGUUAUCCGGAUUCACUGGGUUUAAAGGGUGUGUAGGCGGGCAGGUAAGUCAGCGGUGAAAGCCCCGAGCUUAACUUGGGAAUUGCCGUUGAUACUAUCUGUCUUGAAUGUUGUGGAGGCGAGCGGAAUAUGGUAUGUAGCGGUGAAAUGCUUAGAUAUGCCAUAGAACACCGAUUGCGAAGGCAGCUCGCUACGCAACCAUUGACGCUGAGGCACGAAAGCGUGGGGAGCAAACAGG
RNAcentral lists this ribosomal RNA (253 nucleotides) under uncultured bacterium. Its description in RNAcentral is "partial 16S ribosomal RNA". It matches the Rfam family "Bacterial small subunit ribosomal RNA", at positions 524 to 776 of the family's 1533-position model. The record is from RNAcentral.